RNAcentral lists this ribosomal RNA (253 nucleotides) under uncultured bacterium. RNAcentral describes it as "partial 16S ribosomal RNA". It matches the Rfam family "Bacterial small subunit ribosomal RNA", at positions 524 to 776 of the family's 1533-position model. The record is from RNAcentral.
UACGGGGGGGGCAAGCGUUGUUCGGAAUUACUGGGCGUAAAGGGCUCGUAGGUCGCCAACUAAGUCAGACGUGAAAUCCCUCAGCUUAACUGGGGAACUGCGUCUGAUACUGGAUGGCUCGAGUAUGGAAGAGGGUCGCAGAAUUCCCGGUGUAGAGGUGAAAUUCGUAGAUAUCGGGAGGAAUACCAGUGGCGAAGGCGGCGACCUGGGCCAAUACUGACGCUGAGGUGCGAAAGCGUGGGGAGCAAACAGG